RNAcentral lists this ribosomal RNA (562 nucleotides) under uncultured archaeon. RNAcentral describes it as "bacterial SSU rRNA". It matches the Rfam family "Archaeal small subunit ribosomal RNA", at positions 315 to 879 of the family's 1478-position model. The record is from RNAcentral.
AAUUCGCCCUUCGGGGUGCAGCAGGCGCGAAACCUUAGCAAUGUGCGAAAGCACGACUGGGUCAGUCCGAGUGAUUCCUGAUAAAGGAGUCUUUUGCUUGUCCUAAAAGCACAGGUGAAUAAGGGGUGGGCAAGUCUGGUGUCAGCCGCCGCGGUAAUACCAGCACCUCGAGUGGUCAGGACGUUUAUUGGGCCUAAAGCAUCCGUAGCCGGCUUUGCAAGUCUUCGGUUAAAUCCACCUGCUCAACAGAUGGGCUGCUGGAGAUACUACAAAGCUAGGGAGUGGGAGAGGCAGACGGUAUUCAGUGGGUAGGGGUAAAAUCCUCUGAUCCAUUGAGGACCACCAGUGGCGAAGGCGGUCUGCCAGAACACGUUCGACGGUGAGGGAUGAAAGCUGGGGGAGCAAACCGGAUUAGAUACCCGGGUAGUCCCAGCUGUAAACGAUGCAAACUCGGUGAUGCAUUGGCUUAUGGCCAAUGCAGUGCCGCAGGGAAGCCGUUAAGUUUGCCGCCUGGGAAGUACGGACGCAAGUCUGAAACUUAAAGGAAUUGGCGGGGGAGCAC